ACUCCUACGGGAGGCAGCAGUAGGGAAUCUUCCACAAUGGACGAAAGUCUGAUGGAGCAACGCCGCGUGAGUGAAGAAGGGUUUCGGCUCGUAAAACUCUGUUGUUAAAGAAGAACAUAUCUGAGAGUAACUGUUCAGGUAUUGACGGUAUUUAACCAGAAAGCCACGGCUAACUACGUGCCAGCAGCCGCGGUAAUGCGUAGGUGGCAAGCGUUGUCCGGAUUUAUUGGGCGUAAAGCGAGCGCAGGCGGUUUUUAAGUCUGAUGUGAAAGCCUUCGGCUCAACCGAAGAAGUGCAUCGGAAACUGGGAAACUUGAGUGCAGAAGAGGACAGUGGAACUCCAUGUGUAGCGGUGAAAUGCGUAGAUAUAUGGAAGAACACCAGUGGCGAAGGCGGCUGUCUGGUCUGUAACUGACGCUGAGGCUCGAAAGUAUGGGUAGCAAACAGGAUUAGAUACCCUGGUAGGAUAGCG
RNAcentral lists this ribosomal RNA (472 nucleotides) under uncultured bacterium. RNAcentral's name for it is "bacterial SSU rRNA". It matches the Rfam family "Bacterial small subunit ribosomal RNA", at positions 335 to 802 of the family's 1533-position model. The record is from RNAcentral.